Molecule: ribosomal RNA, 443 nt
Filed under: uncultured bacterium
Lineage: Bacteria
Description: partial 16S ribosomal RNA
Rfam family: Bacterial small subunit ribosomal RNA
Source: RNAcentral
CCUACGGGAGGCAGCAGUGGGGAAUAUUGGGCAAUGGGCGCAAGCCUGACCCAGCAACGCCGCGUGAAGGAUGAAGGCCUUCGGGUUGUAAACUUCUUUUCUCAGGGACGAAGAAAGUGACGGUACCUGAGGAAUAAGCCUCGGCUAACUACGUGCCAGCAGCCGCGGUAAUACGUAGGUGGCAAGCGUUAUCCGGAUUUAUUGGGUGUAAAGGGCGCGUAGGUGGGAUGGCAAGUCAGAAGUGAAACGUCGGGGCUCAACCCUGGACCUGCGUUUGAAACUGUGUUUCUUGAGUGCUGGAGAGGCAAUCGGAAUUCCGGGUGUAGCGGUGAAAUGCGUAGAUAUACGGAGGAACACCAGUGGCGAAGGCGGAUUGCUGGACAGUAACUGACGCUGAGGCGCGAAAGCGUGGGGAGCAAACAGGAUUAGAUACCCCUGUAGUC